GGGCCCGCACAAGCGGCGGAGCAUGCGGAUUAAUUCGAUGCAACGCGAAGAACCUUACCUGGGUUUGACAUAUACCGGAAAGCUGCAGAGAUGCAGCCCCCGCAAGGUCGGUAUACAGGUGGUGCAUGGCUGUCGUCAGCUCGUGUCGUGAGAUGUUGGGUUAAGUCCCGCAACGAGCGCAACCCUCGUCCUAUGUUGCCAGCGGAUAAUGCCGGGGACUCAUAGGAGACUGCCGGGGUCAACUCGGAGGAAGGUGGGGAUGACGUCAAGUCAUCAUGCCCCUUAAGUCCAGGGCUUCACGCAUGCUACAAUGGCUGGUACAAAGGGCUGCAAUACCGCAAGGUCAAGCGAAUCCCAAAAAGCCAGUCUCAGUUCGGAUUGGGGUCUGCAACUCGACCCCAUGAAGUCGGAGUCGCUAGUAAUCGCAGAUCAGCAAUGCUGCGGUGAAUACGUUCCCGGGCCUU
This 464-nucleotide ribosomal RNA is filed under the name uncultured bacterium. RNAcentral's name for it is "bacterial SSU rRNA". It matches the Rfam family "Bacterial small subunit ribosomal RNA", at positions 917 to 1382 of the family's 1533-position model. The record is from RNAcentral.